GUUUUGAAUGCAGGAAAGCUUUCUAUCGUAAAUCAGAGCUUACUGACCAUCAGAGAAUUCAUACAGGUGAGAAGCCAUAUGAAUGUAAGGAAUGUGGGAAAGCUUUUUGCCAAAAGCCCCAACUUACUCUACAUCAGAGAAUUCAUACAGGUGAGAAGCCCUAUGAGUGUGCAGAAUGUGGGAAAGCCUUCUCCACCAAGUCCUACUUAACUGUACAUCAGAGAACUCACACAGGUGAGAAACCUUACGAAUGUACAGUAUGUAGGAAGUCAUUUAUCUGUAAGUCAAGUUUCAGCCAUCAUUGGAGAACUCAUACAGGUGAAAAACCUUAUGAAUGUAAGCAGUGUAUGAAGACCUUCUACCGUAAGUCAGAAAGCUUUUUACUGCACUUCACACCUCAUUGUACAUCAGCGAACUCAUACAGGUGAGAAACCUUAUGAAUGUAAGGAGUGUAGGAAAGCUUUCUACGAUAAGUCAAAUCUUAAACGGCAUCAGAAGAUUCAUACUGCGAAGAAGGCCUCUGAAUGCAAACAAUCUAACAAAUUUUUUCUGAGUAAUACUUCUCAACAUCAGACAAUGUAUUAUGAAUAUUGAGAAGGCAAGAAAGCUUUUCACCAAAAACCAAACUUUAUUUAAACAUUCAACACUCUUCUUACAGGUAAGGAAACCCUGUGAUUGGAAAGUACUUAUCCAAAAGUCAGCUCUUACUGUACAUUGGACCACUUAUACAAGGGAUUAAAUCAAAUGAAUAAACAGUGAAGGAAACCUUUGACUCUUGUU
Molecule: long non-coding RNA, 780 nt
Filed under: Rattus norvegicus (Norway rat)
Lineage: Eukaryota; Metazoa; Chordata; Mammalia; Rodentia; Muridae
Description: long non-coding RNA NONRATT007333
Source: RNAcentral